CUGAAACAAUAAAGAUAGCACAAAUCCAAACCAGUAAGUACUAAGUACAUAUAUUACUUCAAUUUUCUUUUAUAACUAUCAUCAUAUCAUGCUCUUGGUUUUAAUUUGUUCAUAAGUAAUAACGAUUGAUAGCUGCAACUAGAAACCUGCCCAUCCAGCAGGUUUGGUCGAAGCAGCGGGCCUGAUCGAAGCAGUAGGCUUGGUUGAAGUGGCCGGCUUGACUGAAGUAGUAGGCUUGAUUGAAGUGGCUGGCUUGGCUGAAGUAGUAGGCUUAGUGGAAAUGACUGGCUUAGUUGAAGCGGUUUCGGAUUUUUUUACCUCACUGUUGUUGUACCGAUGGGAGGUAUUUCCCUGAGGAAUAGGGGCUGCUGUGAAACUCUCCUUCCCAAAGCCCCAGGUACCAUUUGUACUAGCACCUGUGCUUGAAGGUCCACCACUUCCUUGACGGUUGAUUGUUGUCCGAACUGAUUUGGGACGACUUCCCUUUGUGGUGGACUGAUUUGCUAAUGGCUUUGGCUCAUUAGCAAAUGGUUGCCAUGAGUUUUGAUCUGGAUUUGAUGAAAGGGGGACAUUUGCAAACAUUUCUUGCUGGAGUUCUAAUACAGAUCCUUCAAUUUUUUCCCUCUGCCGUAGCAUGGAAAUAACAAUUAAAUUGUUGAACCAACCAAGAGCACAUGAAGAGUUCAUUAGGGAUAAAAAUUUAAAAUACCUGAGAGGAUGGUGGCAAGCUCACACCAGUAAUUUGGUGUCUCUUAUUGUCUUUGUUUGGUGAAGAUUGCCUCACUUUAGUAACUUUCUGCUUUAACUCCUGAAUCUCUUGCCGUUGGGAACGGCAAAUAGAGGACAAUUUUUCGUACUUGGAAUUUAUCUCAGUUUUUUCUAAAUUAGAUUGCUUCAGCUGCUCCUUCAAUUUAUCCACUUCAACUAAUAACUCCUUUUCAGACUUACUGUUAUUAUUACCGUUAGCAGUACUAAGUUUUGUAGUGUCAAAAUCAGCAACGAAAGUAUUGAAUGCUUCAUUUCCAAAUGUAGGUGUUUUCUCGGACAAUGAUGAUCUGAUUUUUGAAUUUUCAACAUGUGAUUCCCGUGUCUUUCCUGAACCACUGUCGCUAUCAAAUCUAAUUUCAAAGUCCUCAUUGGUAUCAUACGAUUUGUUCAAGGGAUUCCCAGAAUUGAUUUUGUUCAGUGGUUUUUGAGGGUGUGGUUCUCUUGGAGGACUAGUUCUCUUCACAUAACUCUGCUGGCUCGGUUUAGGUGUGACCUGGCUUAUAGGUUCUUCAUGAUAUGUAGCCCAAAACAUACCUAAGGGUGCUCCAUCACCACUUGUUUUAGAAGAACUCACGGAAACUUUGUGCUGCUGCUCUUUGUUUGCAUAUUGUGGCGAUUUUUUACGAGCAUGUUCACUUUUAGAAGCUGAAGACACAGGUGUUCCUUUCGUGGAUCCUAAAAACAAAUUGACUUAUCAGAAAAGCAAAUAAAUUGACUUAUCAGAUAAUACUGUGAGGCAGCCUCUGAUUACCAAAAGAUUAUUUUGAAACAAUUCACAAAAAAUGACCUUCGUAGCGUGCAUUUACAGGUGGCAUUUGCAUAUUUGGAAUUGUUGUUUUAGGAGGGCCAUCAGGUGUCUCCUUUUGCAACUGUACAGGGAGUAGUAAGUUAACGCGAAACCACACCUGCCAGAAAUAAAAAGGUGUCAAUAUAAUUCAGGUUCUCCAAAAUCAUGAUCAUUGCAUGUGCAACAAUCAAAAACUAACCUAGAUUCAUGGAGAUGAAUGGCCAAUCAAGCAAAGCUCUUGCCUGCGUUAUAUCUGGUCGGGAAUUUGGUGAGCCUUGCAGCAUAUCCUUGAUCAUAUCUUUUAUGGAAGAACUGUACUUUGGCAGCUCUGGAAUAUGAUAGUUUCCAUUCAAGACCUGCAACUUUGAUUCGCCGUCAAAUGCAGACUUGAAGUAGCAAAUUCGGUAGAGAAGACAUCCAAGAGCCUGCACAAAAAUUAUCUAACUUGAGUUCAAAAAUAAAUAAAUAAUCUUUCUUUCCUACAAAGAAGAAAGGUGUGUCAAUUUAUGUUGCAAUUGGUCAUAAAUUCAGAAUCUGUAAAGCAGGGAUCAAACCAUAUGAUCUCAGAAGUUAUGAAUGAAAUAAUUUCAUAUAAUGAUGCAAUACAAUAAAAAACAGUGUUUUUCAUUUUGGGAUUUGCAAUCGAAAAAAAAUCCAGUGAUAUGACUACUAAUACUUUUUUUAGAGGAUAAAUUUUUAUUCGAUAUGAAGUGGGUCUUUAUAUUAUAGAUACCUCUAAGCUCUAGGGAAUUAUAGAUACUAGCUUACUAGUUACUAAUUAAGUGACUACUCUCCACUGAUUCAUUGCAUUAACUUCUAUAAUCCCCCUAGGUCUGGUGGAUUUGCUUUCACAUCAAAGAAGAUCAUGCAGUCCUUGACUAUUUCCCUUGUAACUACAUCCUUUGGUCUGGUUGUGUUCUGCCAUUUUAUAUUUCUUUCCUUCCAGAGGUACAAAGCAGUUCCACCCAAGAAAGUCUAGAGUAACCUCCAGCAAUUGGAGCCCCUUCUUAGAAGUUGAAUACUGUCAAUUAUGCCUCCCACCUUGAUGUCUCCAUUUGAAGGCAGUUUUGUAUUCCACAGGAUAUGAUUUCUUACAGCAGAGCAGUUUAGGAGGACAGAUUUGGAGUAGGGAUAGUUGAAAAAGAGAUGGCUAAUGAUUUCCUUACAUUUCCCCACAGUACACAUAGAGGGCAGGGUAUACUAUUCCCCAUUGCCUAAGGGUGUGAAAUGAGUGUAGGUAGCCCCAUCUAAGUCUCCAUAGGGGGACUGAAAACUUGGUGGGCUUCCUAGACCAUAUUCCUUUUACUAGGGGGUCUUUUCCUGAGACUGUGGGAGGAUACCCUUACAUAAGUUCUGUAAGGACAUUCUUGGAUUUUGUCCCUUCAAGAUCAUCACAUAAUAAUCACAUAAUUUCCAGCACAAUCCAUGAUAUUAUACGAGUCCUUUAUAUCUUAGAUUCUUAGUAUUGCCAUCCACAUGGUAGAGUCCUAUGCUUGCCAUCUCCUUGUCCUUUAUAUCUCUCUCUCUUACCCAAGAGGACAGUACAGACUCACUGUUUGUCCAAACAUUGUGGAGUCUUUUCAUGUGUGAUGCUCUCUAGCAGAUGCCUCAAAGAUCUUUACUCCCAACAUCAGGCAACUCUUCUUUUUUGGAAGGAUGAUGCUUUCCCGGGGGAGAAGUGUUUUCCAUCAUAUAUGAACUUCUAUGUUGUUUGCAUAGUUUUGAAAGCGUGCUAAAACUCCAAAGCGCUCUACAAGGAAUGUUUUUCCUAGAGCGGGCGGGUUUGGGUAAAGAUCUGUCUGAUUACCUGAUUACACCUAUUAUUUAAUAAUAUUUUCACUUAAUAUACUUUUUUCCUACUCUACCCCUCUAUUCUAACUUAAAUUAAAAACCCUUAUCCCACUUUAGGAUUUUAAUUGGAUUUAGUUGUAGUUGGAUUUCAUUUUAUUUGUAUGAAUUCAUUCUUUAAUGUUCUAUUACGUGUGACUUUAUACUUUUAUAUGGUUUUAUAUGUAUUUAUAUAGGAUUAUAUGUAUUUUUACAGGAUAUUACUAAAAUACCCCUGACACUUUAAGUGCUUUUUGCUUUUUUGAACAUAGAUUUUUUGUCUCACUAUAGUGAUGACAUUAAUGGGUAGUAGACUAGUAGUGCCAUUAAUCCAGUAAGAGAACACACCAGCAAAUAUCUAGUUCAGAAGUUGUAUUCUCCCCCUUUAGGAGAGGCAUCUAGCUAGAAUCCUUUCCUUAGGUUGGAUUAGGUUCAUACUUCAUAGUUCAUACACUAUCAAAGACUUCCUUUUACCAAAGAUGCAGAUCCUUAGAAGAGAACCCUAUGGUCCCUUGUAUGUGAUGGAGGGGUGGGGGCUCUACCACUUUGGAGUAGUGUCUACUCUUUUCAUGGUUAACAGUUAACUUCCAGUCCUGAGAAAUUAAGGCUUCAAGGGCUGAUUUUAUAGCUAGCAAGGAUUUUGGGUUGCCUUUUGUGAAUAUCAAAAUGUCAUCAGCGUAUAUGAGAUAAGACAUGGAUUUAGUGCCAUACACCAUAUAUAUAUCAAUCCUCCCCUCUCUCACAGUCUCACCCCCUUUUCAAUGAGCCCACUCAGCAUGUCCAUUAAAAGAUUAAAAAAGAGUAUUGGAUAUAUGGGAUCUUCUGGUCUAAGCCUUCUUUAGCUUUUGAAGGGAUUGGUGGGGAAUCCUUCUACUAAGACAGAGAAGGAGGCAGUUUGAAUGUAAUUUUUUAUUAGGUUUAUGAAGUAGGGGGGAAUCACAUGAUUACUAAUACUUAGUUUCUAGUUAGCAUCAUGAUAAUUGUGUUAUAUUAAUGAUAAUAAAUGAUCAUUAAUAUAAUUUCCUACUUAUAUAAAAUAUGGGUCGGUACACGGUAUUAGACCUACUGUAAAAUCUAUUGGAUAGAUAUCCAUUAGAUAACUUACAUACUAAGGUAACUUCUACCUUAGGGAAAAGAUAAACCUUAUCUUGGAUAAGGUUAUCUAUCUCACAGGACUUAUCUCAAUUGUAAUAAUCUAUAAAAGGAACGUACAUCAAUGAAAAGAAGGCAAUCUGUUUUCAUAUAAUUCUCACGAAUUAAAUAAAUAUGUUAGCAUUUAAAGUUUGAAAUUUAAGAUGGUACAUUAAUAGGGGGGAUAUAACACAAACUCAAGCUUAACUUUGAAGAACAUUUAAAGUGGAGUUCCUAAAGUAGAAUGUAAUUCUAUUCAGUAUUUAGAAUAAUAGUAGCAAAUUUACCCCACUAUAUUUAUGUGGGGAUCAGUAACUUGAAGCAUAAAGGCCCAAUUCGUGCUCUUAUAUCAUGGGGCACGAUUAGUCCUCUUAAUUUGGCCCAAUAACACAUCUCAUGGAAGUCCACUACCAAUGAGAUUGAGUAUUAAUACACUGGAGGGCACUUUUUACAACUUAAUCAAAGAUACCUCUCUAACUUCUCUUUCUUCUAUGUUCUAUUUUUCCUCUAUUGUUCUUCUGCAUCUGGAGGAUUUCAGAUUUAUCUCUAGUUGGUGGAUUCCAACCCUGUUCUUCCUAAAUUCUAACAAACUAUUUGGCUAAUUGUUCAGUAGGUGAGUAUUGGAGUCUAAUAAACUGGCAACCAAAACCAUGUGGCAUGUUAAGCAACACGAGCAUCUCACCAAACACUGAACCCAUAAGCACAACACCAACAUGACACCAGUUCAUCCCAGCAAACACAUCAGGAACAAAAAAGUCGAUAAAGACUAAGCGAGCAGUGCCUUCACAAAUCACAAUACAUGCCUUGACACCAAGUAAUGAGUAAAAGAGACACCAUACAGUGACUAGAUGGAAGAAGAAGAAAACAUGAGAAUUAUCCAUAGAGAAACAAUCCAAUAUCAAAAACUAACUUGUAUUCGAUUUACUAAAAUCUAAAUAAUUGUAAAAAGUAUAUCUCUAUAGAUAUAAUAGAGUAAAUAGACUAAGGUGACCUAAUCAUAUAGUCUGCAACCACUUGGUCAAGACAUUAAACAUCAAGUAACUAAAGCCACAUUUGUUUGAAAUAUUAUGUGGACUCUAGAAUACCGUCACUGAGAGAUUAACCCAAACUCCCAAAGGCUUCCAUUAUUGUUUGGUUGACAUCUUUUGCAGAAUGAUAGAUUAAUAAAUAUGGCCGAUUUUGAUUGAAACCCACAUAGGUACAUAUAAAUUAGACUCAAUUAACUUAUGUCUGAAGCAUUGAGUUCAUUUUUAUGAAUUUUCAAUUUCAAAUACUUACCUAGAUAAUGAAACAUCUAUUGAAUUGAAACAAAUGAAAGAUGAAUUUUACAAUUCUUACCCAGAUAUCUACUUUUUCACUAAUAACUUCUUUUCUGUAUAGAUCCCACAUCUGCAAAGUGAACAAAUUAAUAAAAAUCAUUCAAAUUUUAAAUCACAGGUCUUUAUAGGAGAAUUAAUUGCCUAUAAAAGCAUAUAAAACUGAACCUCAGGAGAUCUAUAAGCAGGUGUAGUAUAUUUCCUGAUAUUGUCUUCUUCAAUGCCCAUCUCUCCCGGUUUGUCAAAACACUUAUGAUUGGUGGAGGUGCUCCCAAAGUCACAGAGCUUCCAAGAUCCAUCAGAUCCUAGCAAAAGGUUUUCAGCUUUCAAAUCCCUGCCAAUAAGAUAUUUUUAUUAUCAAACGAAUUACAUAUUAUAUUCAUAAUUUGGAUGUCUACAGGUUAUUUUUUGCACAGUAACAAGAAUGGAAAUAAGCACAGAACAAUUGACAAAUAAAAAUCAAACCUAUGGGCAAUUGGAGGUGACUGACAGUGCAUUG
This 6328-nucleotide long non-coding RNA is filed under the name Zostera marina. Its description in RNAcentral is "long non-coding RNA (ZMAR_LNC003191)". The record is from RNAcentral. Lineage: Eukaryota; Viridiplantae; Streptophyta; Magnoliopsida; Alismatales; Zosteraceae.